RNAcentral lists this ribosomal RNA (1398 nucleotides) under Solanum pennellii. Its description in RNAcentral is "bacterial SSU rRNA". It matches the Rfam family "Bacterial small subunit ribosomal RNA". The record is from RNAcentral. Lineage: Eukaryota; Viridiplantae; Streptophyta; Magnoliopsida; Solanales; Solanaceae.
CUUGUGUUUCAUCCGCAAGUUUCCUUGUUGGUCCAAGGAAAAUCCCAAGUACGAAGUGUCUCUUUGUACUUGUUUUUUUCCUUGGCCCAACGACUAGAAACGCCUACUAAUACCCCGUAUUAUGAGGAUAAAAAGGUGGAAUCUGCGCGAGGAGGGGCUCGUGUCUGAUUAGCUAGUUAGUAAGGCAAUAGCUUGCCAAUGCGAUGAUCAGUGGCUGGUCCGAAAGGAUGAUCAGCCAGACUGGGACUAAGACACGACCCAGACUCCUACGGUAGGUAGCAGUGGGAACUUUCUGCAAUUAACGAAAGCUAGAUAGAGCAAUGCCACGUGGAGGUAGAAGGCCCACGGGUUGUGAACUUCUUUUCUCGAAGAAGAAGCAAUAAUGGUAUAUGAGGAAUAAGCAUUGACUAAAUCUAUGGCAUCAAUCGCAGUAAUGCAGAAGAUGCAACCAUUUUCAUCAAUGAAUGGGCGUAAAGCGUCUGAAUGUCACUUUUUGAGUCGGUCAUAAAAUCCCAGGGCUCAAUCCUGGAUAGAUGGUGGAAAUUAUCAAGUUUGAGUAUAGUAGGGGCAGAGGAAUUUUCGGUGGACCGAUUCAAUGUGUAGAUAAUGAAAAGAAGACCAACGGAGAAAGCAUUCUAUUUGGGCCGACACUGAGAGACGAAAGCUAGGGGAGAGAAUGGGAUUAAAUACCCAAAUAAUCCUAGUCGUAAAAUAUGGAUACUAGGCGUUGUGUGUAUCGAAUCGUGUAGUGUUGUAGCUAACGUGUUAUGUAUCUCACCAGGAAAGUAUGUUCGCAAAAAUGAAACUCAAAGAAAUUGACGGGGCCCCGCACAAGCAGUGGAGCAUGUGGUUAAAUUCGAUUCAAAGUGGAGAAUCUUAUCAAGGCUUGAAAUGAUGCGAAUCCUCUUGAAAGAGAGGGGUUUCUUUGGGAACACGUACAUAUGUGGUGCAUGAUUAUCGUCAGGUCAUGAUGUAAAGUGUUCGGUUAAGUCCCACAAUGAGUGCCACCCUCGUGUUAAGUGUCCAUCGUUGAGUUUGGAAUCCUAAAGAGACUGACUGUGAUAGGCGAGGAUGACUUCAAGUGAUCAUGCCCCUUAUGCCUUGGGUGACACACGUGCUACAAUAGUUGGGACAAAGGGUCGCAUCUAGCGAGGGUGCGCUAACCCCUAAAACCCUUCGUCAAUUCGGAUUGCAGGCUUCAACUCGUCUUCAUGAAGAAAGAAUUUCUAGUAAUCGUCAGUCAUCCCUACGAUGAUGAAUUCGUAUUCGGACCUUGUACACACCGCCUGUCACACCAUGGGAGCGGGCCAUGCCUGAAGUAAGGAGAGGAGUGCUGAAAGAUGGGUUAUUAAUUGGAGUGAAGUCGUAACAAGGUAGUCAUACAGGAAGGUGCUACUA